AAAAUGAUGAGAAUUAUUGGUCCGUGUUUAUGAUAUUUUAUUGAUUAUAAUUACCAUUUCUGAUAUUA
Trichogramma pretiosum is the source of this 68-nucleotide small nucleolar RNA. RefSeq annotates it as small nucleolar RNA U18. The record is from RefSeq and is a predicted model, not a curated record. Lineage: Eukaryota; Metazoa; Arthropoda; Insecta; Hymenoptera; Trichogrammatidae. The transcript has a single exon.